RNAcentral lists this ribosomal RNA (253 nucleotides) under uncultured bacterium. Its description in RNAcentral is "partial 16S ribosomal RNA". It matches the Rfam family "Bacterial small subunit ribosomal RNA", at positions 524 to 776 of the family's 1533-position model. The record is from RNAcentral.
UACGUAGGGGGCUAGCGUUGUCCGGAUUUAUUGGGCGUAAAGAGCGUGUAGGCGGCCUGGUAGGUCUGCUGUGAAAACUCGAGGCUCAACCUCGAGAUGUCGGCGGAAACCAUCUGGCUAGAGUCCGGAAGAGGAGAGUGGAAUUCCUGGUGUAGCGGUGAAAUGCGCAGAUAUCAGGAAGAACACCUAUGGCGAAGGCAGCUCUCUGGGACGUUACUGACACUGAGGCGCGAAAGCGUGGGGAGCGAACAGG